RNAcentral lists this long non-coding RNA (2382 nucleotides) under Gallus gallus (chicken). RNAcentral's name for it is "lncRNA (ENSGALG00010009358.1)". Lineage: Eukaryota; Metazoa; Chordata; Aves; Galliformes; Phasianidae. The record is from RNAcentral.
CGAGACGGGGGGUGGAUCGCGCUGUGCUGCCCGGCCGCGCUGCGGUACCGACCCGACCCGGCCCGGCGACCGGCCCCGCUCUACGGCGGGCAGCCCGAUAGGCACAGGGAGCGAGGACCGGGAGCUGGAUGGCGGUGUGGAGGCCUGAGGCGAAGGCUAAGCCUGCCCCUCCCCGGGCCGCCUUCAGCGAGCUUCGGCGCGGGUCUCCGCGUUGAGAGAAGUGAUGAGUCAGGUUUGCUCGGCUCCAUGCUAAUGCACGGAGAUGGAGGGUGUAAUUAGUAGAGAGGCAGGGCUGUGAUCUGCAGCGCGGGGCGGCCGGGCCACGCACCUCCUCUGUGCUUCAGAGCGUCGCUGAAGUUCUCCUUGUUUCGUGCUCCUCCAGCCCCAACGGUGUAUAUGCAGGGUUUGGUGGGAGCAGAGCCACAGACGUCGGAAGGUGUCUGUGUGUGAAACACCCCGCGUUAUGUAAUUCUGAUGUUGAAAGAUGACGCUUCUGAAGGAAUCUUCACCUCAAACAGAGCUGUCAGCAGCACUGAGGGCUGCCACUCACCAGUCAUUUCAAUGCGGAAAGCACUCGAGACACAGCAACAGGCAACAGAACGCAGCGCUCACAGAGAAACAAAUUGACAAGUACCCACGACUGGACAUCCUCAGAAACACGGUUGUGUCCUGUUCCUCUCCACUGCAGUUAUUCCCACUCAGAGUGACCACUUCAGAGCUUUAACAAAGCCCAUUACAAACGGGAACAUUUUCCGUUAGCCAAUUCCUGUCCAGUUACUGAAUGGUAAAGGAAAGCAGAAUCCUGAAGUUAUGAGAUGUGAAUCCUGUGAACAAAUGCUGGUGAGUCCAGGAUUUGAGGUCUGCACAACAGCUGCUGACUCAUCAGGAUUUUGUCACUUCCCUGAAGAUGUUGCUGAGUGUUGGCUUCGGAUCUCAGGUGUCCCUCAUUAAGAACUGCCUAUUUUGCCUCAAACCCUCUUGUGGCAGCCAGGCUGCUGAGGAGCCAAGAGUUCAAAAGCUGAAGGGCUAAAAAGAGGGCAAGCAAGAGGGAGCUUUGGUUCAGUUGUGUGCCUGGCCAGCCUUUUUUUUUUUUUUUUUUUUUUUGCACAGAUGUCUUUGUCUUGCUGGAAAAAAAGUUCUCAAGCAGCAGAACUUGUCUGUUCAUAUUUUGCAAAUGAAACACAUGGUACGGCAUGAUGCCAUGUUAAAGAUGGAGCUGAUCAGUGAAAUUAGCUUCCGUUACUCACUGGCAAUGGUAUGGCUUUCAUUAUUUUCACAACAAAUACAAAACUCAGCAGCCUUUAGGAUAUGGCACAUAAUUAAUGUCCAUUUCCCAUUGAAGCCCCCCAAGAUAUGACUCUAAGUACAUUGGAAGAUGAGGCUGAAUUGUAACACAGUUUUAUUCUUUGUUUCUGGACAAAGAAGGCUGAAGUGAUGAAACAUUUGCAUCUGUUUUAAACUUGGCUUAUUUCAUUUUUAAUUUUUUUUUUUUUUAAUCCCACUGCAUUAUUUUUCUGACGGCUACACCCUGAAAAAACAGGUUGUCAGUGCAAGCAGGGUUUUCUCAGAAGGUACCCACAAGAAGCAAUUAGACGUGUGAGCAAAGGCAGUCAGCACAUGGGAUCCUCCCCAGCGAAACAGGCUCAGCGCUGAAGGCUCGUCUGCAUGGCAUGUUUCUUCUUUCAUCGAACACCAGCAAAAUGCCAGGAACAUUCCUGGACAGGAGAAAUCUUGAAUUCUGCAAUUCAGCCUUAAAGAAACACUCCUCUGGGGAACUGCCCAACUGCCUGAUGGAAAUGAGUGACUCCUGUAUGCAGAUCUGCCUUCGAAGACUCUGACCUAUUUCAGCCCAGCUUUGCAGAACACACAAGCUCUAUUUAUGAUGCUGCAGGAAGGGAAAGGCAGGGUGCAAGCAAUGCACCUUGCUCUGCUGGGAAAGAGCUGGCAGCCCCAGCUCCAGCAGUGAAGCCCCGCAUCAGGAGAUGGUGGGACCUGGCUCCUGUUGGGGCAAUGAGUAACAUCAUCACAUCUGACUGAACCUCUGGCAUGUAGACUUGACUACUUACUCUUGCUGCAGAAGCAUUUAUAUUGACACAGAUUCAGGAAGAUGCUGCACAGCAGAAUCAGGGAAACAACUGUUUUAUAAGCAGAGUGAUGCCUUCAUACAGCACAGCAGUGUGAUCUGCGAUGGAAAACAUAACAGGACUGUAUUCCACAGCAAGGUCAUGUUUUGAGAAUUUUAUUCGUCCUCAUUUCUAUUAAAGUGUCUUUUUACAGGGAGAAAUAACUUCUUUUAGUUAUGCUGUAUUGCUCUUGAAACUUAACCUUCCUCUAGCUGGGCUCUAUAAAUCACGGAUUUUCUUAUAAACAGAUUACAGAUCC